RNAcentral lists this long non-coding RNA (264 nucleotides) under Brassica napus (rape). Its description in RNAcentral is "long non-coding RNA (BNAP_LNC004682)". Lineage: Eukaryota; Viridiplantae; Streptophyta; Magnoliopsida; Brassicales; Brassicaceae. The record is from RNAcentral.
CUCAACGGCGGUUACGACGGGCCACAACAACCACACCUCAACCGCGGAUUCGACGUGCCACCACAACCACACCUCAACCGGGGAUACGACGGGCCACCACCACCACCACCACACCUCAACGGCGGAUACUACGGUCCACAACAACCACACCUCAACGGCGGAUACUACGGGCCACCGAUUCCUCCGCCGCCGCCUAAACCCAAGCGCCGAUACAAAGCCCCCGGAUGCUGCUGCUUGAGCUGCAUGUGCAGCUGCUUCGGAAGC